UCGCUAGGAUAUCGCAUCCUAUGCCUACGUAUCUCAUCUGGAAUGAGAAUCAGAGCUACCGUAGUUCGGCUAACGCACGCCGAAACAAAACACAACACAAAGACGCUGAGACGUCAAAAGCUACCGUAGUUCGGCUAACGCACGCCGAAACAAAACACAACACAAAGACGCUGAGACGUCAAAAGAAACUCGCAAAUGGAAACAGACUGCCAAUGGCUGGUCUUACGUCCGACUCCAAACAACAAAC
This 247-nucleotide long non-coding RNA is filed under the name Lathyrus oleraceus (garden pea). Its description in RNAcentral is "Pisum sativum (pea) long non-coding RNA (PSAT_LNC029775)". The record is from RNAcentral. Lineage: Eukaryota; Viridiplantae; Streptophyta; Magnoliopsida; Fabales; Fabaceae.